RNAcentral lists this unclassified non-coding RNA (254 nucleotides) under Hevea brasiliensis (rubber tree). Lineage: Eukaryota; Viridiplantae; Streptophyta; Magnoliopsida; Malpighiales; Euphorbiaceae. The record is from RNAcentral.
AAAACUUAUUUUUACAAUAUCAUAUAGCAAUUCAUCAAAAUGACCCAGUAAAUAGGCCCUAACGCCCCUCACAUAUACAGGAAAUAAAUAAGGUUUGUUUCAUUGUGUUUGCUGAAUAUGGGAGGUAAAUAUAAAUUAGGAUUGCGCAUUUUUGGAUUUUCACAAAAGUUAAGAGCAAGAGAGAAUAUUUCUCUUACUAUGAUUUUCAUCUUUCAUUCCUGCCUCCUCCAGAUUAUGUAACAUGCUUCAAUCAG